UACGGGGGGAGCAAGCGUUGUUCGGAUUUACUGGGCGUAAAGGGCGCGUAGGCGGUCGUGACAAGUCACUUGUGAAAUCUCCGGGCUUAACUCGGAACGGUCAAGUGAUACUGUCGGACUAGAGUACAGAAGGGGCAACUGGAAUUCUCGGUGUAGCGGUGAAAUGCGUAGAUAUCGAGAGGAACACCUGCGGCGAAGGCGGGUUGCUGGGCUGGAACUGACGCUGAGGAGCGAAAGCGUGGGUAGCAAACAGG
This 254-nucleotide ribosomal RNA is filed under the name uncultured bacterium. RNAcentral's name for it is "partial 16S ribosomal RNA". It matches the Rfam family "Bacterial small subunit ribosomal RNA", at positions 524 to 776 of the family's 1533-position model. The record is from RNAcentral.